Molecule: transfer RNA, 78 nt
Filed under: Deltaproteobacteria bacterium
Lineage: Bacteria; Pseudomonadati; Myxococcota; Myxococcia
Description: tRNA-Lys
Rfam family: tRNA
About the family: Transfer RNA (tRNA) molecules are approximately 80 nucleotides in length. Their secondary structure includes four short double-helical elements and three loops (D, anti-codon, and T loops).
Source: RNAcentral
GGGCCGUUAACUCAGCCAGGUUAGAGUAUCUGCCUUUUAAGCAGAGAGUCGUUGGUUCAAAUCCAACACGGCCCACCA